RNAcentral lists this ribosomal RNA (772 nucleotides) under uncultured Neocallimastigales. RNAcentral's name for it is "partial large subunit ribosomal RNA". The stretch from base 4 to 662 matches the Rfam family "Eukaryotic large subunit ribosomal RNA", at positions 24 to 664 of the family's 3401-position model. The record is from RNAcentral. Lineage: Eukaryota; Fungi; Neocallimastigomycota; Neocallimastigomycetes; Neocallimastigales.
GUACACGCUGUGACUAGCAUAUCAAUAAGCGGAGGAAAAGAAACUAACAAGGAUUCCCUCAGUAACGGCGAGUGAAGCGGGAAGAGCUCAAAUUUGAAAUCUUGAAAGGUCACCUUUCACGAAUUGUAGUUUAAAGAAGUGUUUUCUGUUACGAUCGUAAUAUAAGUUCUUUGGAAUAGGACAUCACAGAGGGUGAGAAUCCCGUCUAUGAUUGCGAUUUGUAGCUUUGUGAUACACUUUCAAAGAGUCGGGUUGUUUGGGAAUGCAGCCCAAAACGGGAGGUAAAUUUCUUCUAAGGCUAAAUAUUGGCGAGAGACCGAUAGCGAACAGGUACCGUGAGGGAAAGAUGAAAAGAACUUUGAAAAGAGAGUUCAAAUAGUACGUGAAAUUGUCAAAAGGGAAGCGUUUAACACCAGUGUUGUUUUCUGAAAAUCAACCUCUGUUAGCUUUAUGCAUGUUUGUUUAGACCUAAUCAGCUGUCUUUCAUGUUCUAUUGUUUGCAGUGGUGCACUUUUCAGUUUACAGGUCAACAUCAGUUUUUUUUACCGUAAAAAAGUUAAAGAAAGGUAGCUCAUGGCUCCGGUCGUGAGUGUUAUAGUCUUUUUCCUAUGCGGUAGGAGAGACUGAGGUCUGCAGUGUAGGCUAUUUGGCUAGAUACUCAGGUGCUAUGUGAUACCAUUUCAUAAACAACUUGUUGAUUAUGUUUUGUCUAUUGCAUACUCGCUUGUACUAUCAUACCUACGCUUAGGAUGUUGAGUAGCGACAUACGCAC